This 624-nucleotide small RNA is filed under the name Pongo abelii (Sumatran orangutan). Its description in RNAcentral is "processed transcript". The record is from RNAcentral. Lineage: Eukaryota; Metazoa; Chordata; Mammalia; Primates; Hominidae.
ACCUCGUGGCCACUGCACCAAACGCUCCUCCGAAGCUUCCCUCAGAGGCCCUCCCUCAACCGUGAGGCAGUCCUCCCCUCUGCCCUCCUGUCCACAACACAACUGCUCCCCGCCUCCCACUUGAGGGCACCGGGGCCAGGCCCCAAGACGAGAGGCCGGCCGCAGCCUUCCUCCACGGGGCUCACGACCCGGGGGCCCCACGCUGCCACCCUUUACCCCGGGGCCCCCAACCUCACCCGCCGCCGCCACCCUCGGUCCCGGCCACUGCGGGCGGCUCUGCAGAAGAGCUACGCUCCGUCCAGUCGGACCCCGGACCCUGGCCGGGCAUCUCCGCGGCGCCGAGACCGCGAGCCGUGUGCAGGAGCAGCUGUCCCAGCGUCCCUCCCCCGACCGCACGCUAUUCCAGAUCCUCAGCACAUUUGCAAAUCGCGAGGGUCACCAUACAGGUCAAACGUCUCCACGCAAACCACGGACCGAAGCACGUGGCGCAAGGAUGCGGAGCUUUAUCUGUUGUCCGUUAUUACUCAGGACGCGUUUCUCACGGGAUUUGGCCUGCGGGCUGCCCCGUAGUAGGAGGUGUGGUAGAACUGAAGACGUAGAAAGAAUGUGGAUUGCGAUUGGUUC